Eptatretus burgeri (inshore hagfish) is the source of this 3506-nucleotide long non-coding RNA. Lineage: Eukaryota; Metazoa; Chordata; Myxini; Myxiniformes; Myxinidae. The record is from Ensembl.
CCCAUUGGCAAAGCCACUCCUCGAUAGUCCGCGUUCCGCGUGUAACUGUGAACUCAUCCAGCACAUCAGAGGGUGCAAAGAGAACCAUGAGCGGUAAUUCCAUUGCGCCGGACAGGCACUGACACCGGGUCUCUGUGCUCCGACCACCGGGACACCAAAGCGAGCGGAGGCGCGUCGGAUCCUCGGAUAUUUCUGGACAGCAUUGCGAUCCCGAGACGGACGCGCUCGGGCUGGUCGACCGCCGGUGCUAUGCGCGCCGAUAGUCGCGCUCUGUACCACCAUGUGUAGGACAAUGCACGGAUGGAGUUCAAGCACAACUUCGGUGAAAUAAGUAUGGGGAAGACACUCCGAUGCCUGGCUGACUCGACGUCCCCGUUGUUACAGAGACUCUGCGUGAUCUGCGCGCUGGCGGCGCUCUUUGCAUCACACUGCUUCAUGUGCACAAUUCCAGACAAUAUGGAGAAUCUCACGACGAGCAUCACUAAUAAUCUACCCACAGAUUAUGAGAUUCACUCAUGGAAUAAAACAAAAAUGUGCAAUAAAGAAGAUGUGCAGAAUUUCCUGGAGAAAGCACAGGAGAUAAUUGAAAUUUUUGAUCGAAAGAUGAAAAACGAAAGUUUUAUAAAGCAAGACAUCUCUAAAGUGCAGAGGAGUGUGAAAGACUUUUCCACAUGCAUCAGCAUGGAAACUUUGGCUCAAAAUUUUUGCUUGCGGUUCCAGCCCAACUUACCCCAGAACUUUUUUGGGGACUUGCACAGCAUAAUGCUGAAUAUAUCUUUGAAUAUACCUGCUCCACAAAACAAAUGCCUUUGCUUCCUUGAGUUUCUGACGAGUCCAAAACCCACAAAUGAUAUGACAGCAAAAUCCACUACGGUCCCAAACACGGAGGAAGUGCAUACUCAGGAAGCCACAGUGACAGAUCAAACCACCUCAUACCAACCCCCAUUAAAGAACCCUUUGAAGCAUCAUGAGACGGAUGGCUGGAAGAGAAUGGCCAUCAUAUCCAUGUCACUUUGCAUCAUUCUUCUGUUUAUCUUGGCAGCACUGGUGAGAUAUGGCAUUUUUUUUAUUUCCCCUCCCAUCAGACUUGCAAAGUUGUUAUAUGAAGGAAAUUGGAUACAGCAAUUGGCCAUUUCUGCUUGUAUUGUAUCUACAGCCUUUUAGUUUAUCCAUUAUUUUAAAUUAUACCUUCAUUUCUGAUUGUCACCUGGUGCACUUCCAGCAGGGGGCACUGCAUUUGCUGCAUACAACUCUUCUGAGUUGUUAAGCCGGUUGUGUAAUCGUCUGAUAGGAUAUUUGGGGAGAUAAAGGCAAGCCACUCGAACAGUGCUAUUGUGAAUCCCUAAAAGUCAUGAUUUUGACCUCAUCCUUUCUCCCUGUUUAUAAUCUAUGAGCCAAGCAGAUUCAGGUUGAACAGCUGCGUUUUAUGUUUAAAAAAAAAACUGCACCUUUGCUUUGUUGAACCCAUUCUGGAAUCAAAAAAGCUGGAGGAAGCAAUGUAGGCUUAUGACUAGACAAGGAUGGAUAAAACAUGGGAGAGACAAAACCAAAGUCAAAAAAAGAGGAGUCGGGAAGAUAAAAGAAGCAACUUUUUGGGAGCUAAUUACACACAUAACUUAUCAAUGGAAACUUUUGUUUCUAUCCUGGAUAAGGCAUCGUGUAACUUCCUGUCUGGCACUAUAGCUCAGGAGACGCCAGCAGCACAUUGCGAUGGUAUGGCACGUCGGGUCAGAAUUAGUAACAGGAGCUGGGCCUGAUCUGACGCCAUGUGUGGCCUUUGUGUGCGGGUGACCCUCAAAAUAGGGCUUUCCAAAUGAUGAAGGGCCAGACUGGGCGCCCAGGGGCCACAGGGUACAAUUUAGCAAUUGGUCGCCUUUCACCACAACUCAGUGGCCUCCUCAAACCAGCCAAGUCAAAACAUCACAUCAGCAGUCACCUGACUAUAUCCAUAGAUUAACUGGCAAAGUUGAGGCUAUGCUUUUCGCAGGUUAACAGCACGUGUGUAGCAGAUGGGGGUCAUGCUAAAUAAUUCCAGUUUGAAAGCUCAGAAACCUGGAAUCGCUAAUUGAGACAUGUGUGUCUGCUUCUGGAGAGUAAAUGCAAUCUUUCUUCUGAAGUGUGGAAAUUAUAUUUAAUCGUUUGACAAUCAUAUGGCAAGUAAUUCUUGCAUUAAAAAGCCAGUCCUGGACACAAGGAAGUUUCUGAUGAUGAUAAUACUAUUUUUAAGCAACAAUGAUCAUGUCCUGUAUGAUUGAAGUCGCAGUUUAUAAGUAUCUGAAGUCUUUGCUGACAUGGCCAACACGAGAUUCAUUAUAAGCCAUAACAUGAAACGAAUUACAUAAUUCACACUGAACUAAUGAACAGUUUGGUGCAUGAAUUUUAGAUCUGCAUAUGCCUGUCUUUUUUAUAUUUUCAGCUUCUGUACUACAGACAACUGACACAACGAGAAGGAUACACCGGUCCGAGAAGAAAUGAAAUAGCGUAGGACUGGUGCCUGGAGCAAAUUUUUAACGAGAACUUUGUGAAAGAGCUGGACCCACUCAACUGGAUCAAUCCCAGCCAGGCAUGAUCUGCACCACAUGGCAGCGCAACGUGGCUCGCCAAGAUUGCCUUUGGGCUUGAUGUAAAUUGAAUGAAGCUACUGGAGUAGAUACUUUACAGUGGAAUAGUAAAGUCUCUGGAACCAAGGUGUGGACAAAAUGACUGCAAGCAACUAUGUUUACUGUGCCAAUAAUAGGUUUUAUAAUGCUUGCAGCUGACCUGAAAUGCUGCUGUGAUUGACCACCUUGCCUGGCCGGAGAAAGAUGAUUUAGAAAGUUGAGAUGGACCUGUAAGUGAAGACAUUGUGUGGACUCUAAAAGUGCAAAAAUACUGAACAUGUUGCACCAUCCCGGGCCCAACACCAUACAAGGCAAACGUUUGUAUUCGGCUGCUGGGUGAUGAAACCGGCUCUGUGCUUGAGAAAGAUGUGGCUUCGUGGUACUGUGGUUUCCUUCCAAAGAUGCUAUAUUUUAAUAUUUUGCGAAUGCAGUGGUUUGACCGACUCCUCUGCUCGUUACUUUUAUGUUUUCAGGAACUUAUAUGAAAUUACAAAGGUCAGAGGCAUGCAACACCUGAGAUUUAAUCCAAAGACCCUUUUAAAUGCUGCUACCAUGGCUGCCUAUUGUGCCACUCAAUGCAUGGAUCACAAAGAACUCAUUUGGUGAGGCUCUCAUGAGCUUUACCUGCAACGACUGGUGGAUGGAUGGACAUUAUUUUUUGUUUUUUGAAGGGGGUUUGUUGGCGGAAGGGGGGAGGGUGGGGGGUAUUUAUGGGCUAUUGCUGCAGUGUGCAAAAGUGAUAACUGUGCAUUUUAAGGUAUUUGCUUACCCGGACAUCUUUUUGGGAAGCUUGACAUGAAUUUGUCUCAUCUUAUGACAAUGUUAAACUUCAGGAGUACAUGGAGUGUAAUCCUGAAACAAGCAGAAAUGCAGAAGCUCUGAAGGAGCUCAUCACAGUAACGAAAC